This 38-nucleotide ribosomal RNA is filed under the name Avian schistosomatid sp. F4. RNAcentral describes it as "partial 28S ribosomal RNA". Lineage: Eukaryota; Metazoa; Platyhelminthes; Trematoda; Strigeidida; Schistosomatidae. The record is from RNAcentral.
CUGACCUCAUAUCAGAUGUGAGUACCCGCUGAACUUAA